This 412-nucleotide long non-coding RNA is filed under the name Aotus nancymaae (Ma's night monkey). RNAcentral's name for it is "lncRNA (ENSANAG00000038680.1)". The record is from RNAcentral. Lineage: Eukaryota; Metazoa; Chordata; Mammalia; Primates; Aotidae.
AAUAAAAUCUACAUGAUAGAUUAUAAACUGAAAAGCCUUCUGGAAAUGCAUUAGACACUCAGUUCCUUGAAGGCAAAUGAUUAACUGUAAAUUAAUAAUUUCUCCUAAAGCUGAGCAUGUAGACCAGGUGGAACAUGAGAAGCAAAGGAUCCUCACAGAACUUGAACACCUGCAUCAGAUCCUGGAGGAGGAGAAGACUUUCCUGCUGUCACGGAUUUACUGGCUGGGUCAUGAGAGAGCCGAAGCAGGGAAACACCAUGUUGCCUCCACCGAGCUACAGUCGAACAAUCUCAAGGAGCUCAUGGAUUCCCUGAAGAUCAAGCAGAAAAUGCCACCCAGGCAGCUGCUGGAGGAUAUCAGAGUUGCCUUGUGCAGGUAUGAUGGGCCACCCCAAAUGUAUUUUGCCUACUGA